GCGUAAAGAGCUCGUAGGCGGUUUGUCGCGUCUGCUGUGAAAUCCCGAGGCUCAACCUCGGGUCUGCAGUGGGUACGGGCAGACUAGAGUGCGGUAGGGGAGAUUGGAAUUCCUGGUGUAGCGGUGGAAUGCGCAGAUAUCAGGAGGAACACCGAUGGCGAAGGCAGAUCUCUGGGCCGUAACUGACGCUGAGGAGCGAAAGCAUGGGGAGCGAACAGGAUUAGAUACCCUGGUAGUCCAUGCCGUAAACGUUGGGAACUAGAUGUGGGGACCAUUCCACGGUCUCCGUGUCGCAGCUAACGCAUUAAGUUCCCCGCCUGGGGAGUACGGCCGCAAGGCUAAAACUCAAAGGAAUUGACGGGGGCCCGCACAAGCGGCGGAGCAUGCGGAUUAAUUCGAUGCAACGCGAAGAACCUUACCAAGGCUUGACAUAUACCGGAAACAUGCAGAAAUGUGUGCCCCGCAAGGUCGGUAUACAGGUGGUGCAUGGUUGUCGUCAGCUCGUGUCGUGAGAUGUUGGGUUAAGUCCCGCAACGAGCGCAACCCUCGUUCUAUGUUGCCAGCACGUAAUGGUGGGAACUCAUAGGAGGCUGCCGGGGUCAACUCGGAGGAAGGUGGGGAUGACGUCAAAUCAUCAUGCCCCUUAUGUCUUGGGCUUCACGCAUGCUACAAUGGCCGGUACAAAGGGCUGCGAUACCGUAAGGUGGAGCGAAUCCCAAAAAGCCGGUCUCAGUUCGGAUUGAGGUCUGCAACUCGACCUCAUGAAGUCGGAGUCGCUAGUAAUCGCAGAUCAGCAACGCUGCGGUGAAUACGUUCCCGGGCCUUGUACACACCGCCCGUCAAGUCAUGAAAGUCGGUAACACCCGAAGCCAGUGGCCUAACCGCAAGGGAGGAGCUUCGAAG
This 903-nucleotide ribosomal RNA is filed under the name Clavibacter michiganensis subsp. michiganensis. Its description in RNAcentral is "bacterial SSU rRNA". It matches the Rfam family "Bacterial small subunit ribosomal RNA", at positions 558 to 1461 of the family's 1533-position model. The record is from RNAcentral. Lineage: Bacteria; Bacillati; Actinomycetota; Actinomycetes; Micrococcales; Microbacteriaceae.